RNAcentral lists this ribosomal RNA (620 nucleotides) under Rhodotorula mucilaginosa. RNAcentral's name for it is "eukaryotic LSU rRNA". The stretch from base 184 to 337 matches the Rfam family "5.8S ribosomal RNA". The record is from RNAcentral. Lineage: Eukaryota; Fungi; Basidiomycota; Microbotryomycetes; Sporidiobolales; Sporidiobolaceae.
UCCGUAGGUGAACCUGCGGAAGGAUCAUUAGUGAAUAUAGGACGUCCAACUUAACUUGGAGUCCGAACUCUCACUUUCUAACCCUGUGCACUUGUUUGGGAUAGUAACUCUCGCAAGAGAGCGAACUCCUAUUCACUUAUAAACACAAAGUCUAUGAAUGUAUUAAAUUUUAUAACAAAAUAAAACUUUCAACAACGGAUCUCUUGGCUCUCGCAUCGAUGAAGAACGCAGCGAAAUGCGAUAAGUAAUGUGAAUUGCAGAAUUCAGUGAAUCAUCGAAUCUUUGAACGCACCUUGCGCUCCAUGGUAUUCCGUGGAGCAUGCCUGUUUGAGUGUCAUGAAUACUUCAACCCUCCUCUUUCUUAAUGAUUGAAGAGGUGUUUGGUUUCUGAGCGCUGCUGGCCUUUACGGUCUAGCUCGUUCGUAAUGCAUUAGCAUCCGCAAUCGAACUUCGGAUUGACUUGGCGUAAUAGACUAUUCGCUGAGGAAUUCUAGUCUUCGGAUUAGAGCCGGGUUGGGUUAAAGGAAGCUUCUAAUCAGAAUGUCUACAUUUUAAGAUUAGAUCUCAAAUCAGGUAGGACUACCCGCUGAACUUAAGCAUAUCAAUAAGCGGAAGGAAAG